RNAcentral lists this long non-coding RNA (742 nucleotides) under Homo sapiens (human). RNAcentral describes it as "HSALNT0325211". Lineage: Eukaryota; Metazoa; Chordata; Mammalia; Primates; Hominidae. The record is from RNAcentral.
CUCCUGAGCUCAGGUGCUCUCCCCACCUGGGUCUCCCAAAGUGCUGGGAUUAUAGGCGUGAGCCACGACACCCGGCUCUGGGUCAGGUUUUUAAACGGCACUGUCCUCGGUAUCUCAAUGUUAAGAUGACUGGUGAUUUCAUGAGUUAAACGUGCCAAGCGCUUAGAAGUGUGUCAGCACAUUGUGACACUCAACAAACUUCAUUAGUGUUUCCACCAGUCUGCUGCCUGAACCGGCCAAGAGGACCACCUGCAUCCCUGCGCACAGUACAGAGAGCUCAGAGUUGAGGAAGGUGUGGGCCCGGUUUGCUAUGGGGGCAGUGAGGGGUGAGAAGAGGCCCUGGGGAAACUCUGGAGUGCUUAUUGAGUAUUUUGUGCCACCCCGGGAAUAAAGAGAUCAAGAAGACCCAGCCCUGGAAGCAAGAAGACAGGCAGAGAGGCGAAGGAGUGGGCUCCCGAUAAGAGGAUGAAUUCAGCCCUCCUUCCUCUUCUUUCACGUGUUCUCUUGCCCUUCCACCCUCCACCAUGGGAUGACACACCAAGAAGGCCUUCACCAGAUGUGGGCCCUUGACCUUGGACUUCCCAGCCUCCAGAACUAAGGAGAAACCAACUCCAAGUUCUUAUUGGAAUAUUUACAGGGUACUGGAGGGGCUCACAGUAUUAAGGAGAAGACUCCGGCAGCCUCUGAAAGAAAGAAAACUAGGGAAGCUCUGGAAACACCAAUAAACGACCUCUGUCUAGGA